This 494-nucleotide ribosomal RNA is filed under the name uncultured bacterium. Its description in RNAcentral is "partial 16S ribosomal RNA". It matches the Rfam family "Bacterial small subunit ribosomal RNA", at positions 28 to 507 of the family's 1533-position model. The record is from RNAcentral.
GACGAACGCUGGCGGCGUGCUUAACACAUGCAAGUCGAACGGUGAAGCGCCUGUCUUUUUGGUGGGUGUGGAUGAGUUGCUAACGGGUGAGUAACACGUGAGUAACCUGUCCCUUUCUUCGUGAUUACCGCAUGAAAGUGUGGCUAAUACGGGAUAUGUGGUGUCUGUCGCAUGAUGGGUCUGGGAAUGAGUUUGUUUGUGUGGGGGUGUGGCUCGCGGCCUAUCAGCUUGUUGGUGGGGUGAUGGCCUACCAAGGCGGUGACGGGUAGCCGGCCUGAGAGGGUGGACGGUCACACUGGGACUGAGACACGGCCCAGACUCCUACGGCACGCAGCAGUGAGACAUAUUGCACAAUGGGCGCAAGCCUGAUGCAGCGACGCCGCGUAAGGGAUGGAGCCCUUCGGGUUGUGAACCUCUUUCGCCAGUGAAAAAGAACUGCCUCGUUUGUGGGUGGGUUGACGGUAGCUGGAUAAGAAGCGCCGGCUAACUACGUG